Manduca sexta (tobacco hornworm) is the source of this 453-nucleotide long non-coding RNA. RefSeq lists it as uncharacterized. The transcript has 2 exons. NCBI's taxonomy places the organism in Eukaryota, Metazoa, Arthropoda, Insecta, Lepidoptera, Sphingidae. The record is from RefSeq and is a predicted model, not a curated record.
GACGUAUCAUUUGAUUUUUGGCAUUAGUAACUAAGUUCUUAAAGCAUAUUUAAAUUGGAAAGGCCAUCAGACGCACAAAUAUUCUUUAUCAAGGCGGUCGCAUUCACUCAGAACAGUGCAAACUCGAUUCAUAAAUGGAUAAAUUAAAAAUAUUUGUGCUCGUUAUUGCCUUUACGUUAAUAACCAUGUCGGAAGGUGUGCCGGAGUCAGACGAAACGGAAAUGAAACCAACUAAACCAGUCCCAGCCAAUUCGCCAAAAUUAGAACAUCCUGAGGGCCAUGUGAUUAAAAACGAAAAGAAGCCGGAACAAAACACAGCGACUGUCCAAGAAGCGAUAAAUGUACUAUUAGGAGUGCCCGUACAAUAUUGAAGUGGUUCUUUAUGACAUUAUAUAAAUUUCAUGAUUUUAAUCUUCGUAUUAAUAAAAAUAAAUUACAUGUCAAAUAUCAAAA